CGGGGCUGAGCUCGGCCCGCCCCGAGGCGGGCCCGCUGCCUGCCGCCGAGCAUCCCGGAGUGGGCUCCGUUCUGCUGCUCCGCCACCAUGUCCCUGUGCCGGGCCGCCUCGCAGGCGCUGGCCUGCCGCCUGGGCAGGGCUCCCGCCGCCGCCAGCCGCCUCAAGCAGCGCGCGCCUCCUCGCCAGAUGUCCUCUGGGCGUGUUCCCGGCUCCCCUGGAGACAGCAUGAUCAUCUAUCUCCUUGCUGGUGUUGCUGCUUUUGGUGGAUUAUUUUAUGCCUACAGAGUAGUCAGUUCACCCCGCAGCAAGUUUACUGAGCAGACAAAUACCCUUCGUGAGAGAGCCGAGGAGUGGAAAAGCAAUCCCUGGUCAAGGAAGGAAGGUGAUGGAGAAGAGAAGGACGAAGUCACUGAAGCAGAGAAGGCCACGGAAGAGGCUGAGGCAGCAGCUGCUGUUGAAGCUGCAGCACAGGAUGAGAGUUCUGGACCCACAGCACAGGAGGAGAGUGCUGCACCCACAGCACAGGAGGAGAGUGCUGGGGGAUCCCCAGAAGCUGGAGGGGAGAAUGAUUUACUGGCUCCAGAGGUACCCCAGGCUGUGGAGGAAGCACAGCAGGAAGGUGCUGCUAACUCAGAAGCUGCUGCUAAUUUGGAACUUGCUGCUAAUUCAGAAGCUGCUGCAGUUCAAGUUUCUGAGGAGGAGAAGACCACUGAAGAAGUUGCUAAAGAGCCCUAAAGGUACACAGUACAGUUGCAGCAUGUGGUUUUCUGCUCUUCACCUAUCUUUUGUUCUCAGUUAGUGGCAAUUGCAGCAUGUGUAAGCAGUGAAGACGCCUUUGUAAAGUUUAAUGCAAAUAUUUGUGGCAAUCCACCAGCUGAUUCCUGUGUGAAACCUCAUACUCUUCCUUGAAGACAUAAAAGAAACUGCAGUUUGUCCCACCACACACUGGUUAUUACGGCCAGUAUUCAGUGCUGCAAGAGCUGAUUUACAUUGCCUAGAGAAACGCUCCUGUGAUUACAUCUCUGCUCUAGAAAGUAGCAUCCAGUCAAGCCACUCAGCAUGUCCUAAAUAAAUGUGCUAAGAGAAGCAGUAGACUUAACUAAACCAUGCCAGAUGAACUCCCUCUAGGUCUUUGUUGUCUUGAUAUGUACAUUGAUUUCUUACUUUUGGUCCAAACUGUUGUGCAUAGUUACACCUUUGUUACAUUCCAUGGUAAAAUGUAAGCAAAAGGUUUUAAAAUCAAGUCAAAAUAUUAUAAAAGUACCUGUUAGCAUCUUUAAAUUGUAUCACAGGGAAAAAAACAACGUGUUUGCUCCUGAGUUUGGACUUGUGACUGUUAGCAUAGGACAUCUGGCUGCACAAGAUCUAAUUUUCCCCCUGCAGAAACAUUUCAGAUGCCACCAUUCCUGGCACAAUAACAUCCAGGAGCAAACAUUAGAAGGCUCCUGCUUUAGGAAGAAAACCUGUUUGCAAGUAGUAGCAGUAGGUACUUUAUAGCAAGACAAUCAAAACAGCACUGGUUGGUGUUGUCACCAUGUAUCAGUGGUGGCUCUGCCUUGGGUGUGCUCUGCUCCUCCCAAAUCUCAUUCAGCUCCCUGAGGUCUCUCUGUGCUGCUCUGUCUUGGCAGUGGUUGUGUAGCUGUAGUGUAAAACACAAAGGUUUGGUAUAAACCUCCAAUCUGGUACAAAUCACCAGCCUUUGUGGUGAUUUGUGGCCUUUUAGGCCAGGGCAAAGCCUGUCUCUGAGAUCUUGCACACAGAGAGUAAAAUCCUUGUGAAGGGCUAUGCAAAGGGUGUUCAAAUGGACAGGCAUUCUUGGGGAGUAAGAAAGAACUGAACAGCUAAAUAACCUUUUCUCAGUAUUUGCUUCAUAAAAAAUACAUUUAUUAUGAAUAAUAUGUUUGUAUGCCACAACCCUCCAUUGUGCCACGUGCACGAGCGUGCAUCUAACACAAAACACUGAGACCCCAUUGCAGCCAACACAGAAUGGAAAUGAUUCUAAACCAGAGCCAAAAAAGGUAUAUUAUGUACUAUUUACAUAGAAAGUGUGUUUUAUAAGGUGUGUCUGACUCUUUUCAAGUGGAAGUUUGGAAAAUGCUGAAAGGGAAACAGCAUUAUGACAUUCCUACCCACAGCACAAAGCAACGCGUGCUCCUUCCCCACUUAUAAAGCAAAUUAUAGAAGUGUUCCAACAAAAAUAUAACCUGUUGCUCCUGGACCUACUUAGGAAUAACUGGAAUAAUGCAGAGGCAAAAGCAGGCUCCUGAGCUACAAGAAGACAAAUCACAGCCUUCUGCUUAAAGGAUAAAGCCUCUGUGAUUAAAAGCAAUUUUUGUGGACAAAGCUACUGGAAUAAAGAUCUUAGACUGAUAUUUUGUUGGAUAAGAGUCUAUCUUUAUUUAUCUUGUAGAUUAAGCAUGCUGUGAUGGAUGUAUGCUAAAUGUUCUAUUUCUUCAUUUUCACUAAUUCCUAGUAAAAGAAGUUCUUUUAGCUGUAUCUAACAGUAGGGUUUCUGAAAUUGUAGGCUUUUCUGAAUGGCUCUUUAUCUCUGGAACCACUCUGGUACAUGGCAAAGUAUGUUAGCCCUCUGCAGCAGCUGCCUGAAUGACUGAAUCACAAACUAUGGUUUCCAAAACUUUUCAUCCUUUCAAUUUCAAACAAAUGUGAGAGUCCCAAAACAGCCUGUACAUGUGCUUUAUGCCAGAGUUCCUCUUUUUGUUUGUUUGUUUUGUUUUGUUCAGGUUUUAUUAAAAAAAAAAACAAAAACAAAACUAGAUGACAUGCAGCACAGAUGGCCUGCUUCAGCACUUGACUGUCUUAGAGUAACAACAGAACCACAUUUAUAUUUUGAAAUUUGCAGAGGUCUGGCCAUUGUUGAUUCAGUCUUUUUCAUAUGGAGGCUGAAUACAACAUAAAUGAAUAUUUUUGUGUCCUUCAUUCUCAGAAAAGUGAAUUUUUGAGUUGCUACACAAAGGCUGUGAUGAACCAUGGAAAAUGUUGAAAGGUAUUGUUGAAAUGGAUCAUUAAGCGGAACAAGGCUACAGCAGAGAACAGACUAAAUGAGAUGGGAGGAAAGAUUUGGUCUUGACAAUACACUUCACAGGCCAGAGCAAAGCUUGAGAUUCUGGAAUUUAUCCAAACUGCACAUUGCUCCUUUGCCAUCAGCAGCUAUCUGUGAAAGCAGCUGGCAAGGAUUUUCACCUCCCUCUAGAGCUGGUUACUCCCUCUAGUUCACCUCUCUGAAGGGUGACAGCCUGUUGCUGCUGGCAGCUAUUCACAAAGCUGAAAAUUCUGGAGAUAACAAAGUCCAUCUAACAAUUUCAGGUUUACUUUUUGCCUGUGUUGGUGUAGAUCUAGAAUUUCGAUUUUAUUUUCAUUUGCUUCUUCAAAACAUAAGACAAUUACUAGAAAUCGUAAUUCAAACUGCAAGCUGCCACUCUGCACUUGGAAAACCUGAGAGUGAAAUACUUUUGUCAGGAUUUCUUAUGUUUAUGCAACAGGCUUUGAUGAUGUGAUACUACUUUUAAAAUCUGUUUUUCUGGAAAAAAAAAACAAAAAACAAAACCAAAAAACCCCCAAAA
RNA transcript from Prinia subflava (tawny-flanked prinia), 3581 nucleotides. It is a transcript of the gene named mitochondria localized glutamic acid rich protein, with no coding region annotated. The record is from RefSeq and is a predicted model, not a curated record. The transcript is spliced from 6 exons. Lineage: Eukaryota; Metazoa; Chordata; Aves; Passeriformes; Cisticolidae.